UUGAUCUCUAACAUUUUUGAUGUAAAAUAAUAUGAGAUUUAUCAAAAAAUCAGUGAGUUUCAUUCUCAUCAAUUCUUCGACGGCGUUGACGCUACUUACAUUCCAAUUCUAGGGUUUGAAGAAAUCGUUGAGGGACUCAGAUAUAUGAGAGUUUCCAAAUGCUCUACUGGAAGCUGAAGGAUCUUUGAGCUGAGAGCUCAGUAUUACUGAUUGCACUGUGGAGAUUUCUGUGAUUAUCUUCAUGGAUUCUGGAAGAAAACACAUACUGACACAAUGAAGUUCAACAAUCUCUACAACAUCAGAAGAAAUUCCCUUUACCAUCUCUAUAGUAGAAUGUGGAAGCCCAUUUGAAAGCAGGAUUCCGUGGGAGAGCAGUGGUGUUGAUAUCGACAAGUAAGUAUUAUAUGGAUCUGAUGC
Camellia sinensis is the source of this 417-nucleotide long non-coding RNA. RefSeq lists it as uncharacterized. Lineage: Eukaryota; Viridiplantae; Streptophyta; Magnoliopsida; Ericales; Theaceae. The record is from RefSeq and is a predicted model, not a curated record.